GACGAACGCUGGCGGCGUGCUUAACACAUGCAAGUCGAACGAGUGGCGAACGGCGGAGUAAUACGUGAGUAACCUGCCCUCUUUUUGGGAUAAGCCGUGGACACGGGGGAUAAUACCGGAGAAAGGGGGAUGGGCUCGCGGCCGUUCAGCUUGUUGGUGGGGUGAGGGCCUACCAAGGCGGUGACGGGUAGCCGGCCUGAAGGGGUGACCGUCGACAGUGGGACUUAGAGUCGGCCCAGGCUCUUACUGGAGGGAGCAGGGGGGGAUAUUGCACAAUGGGCGAAAGCCUGAUGCAGCGACGCCGCGUGGGGUAUGAAGGCUUUCGGGUUGUAAACCUCUUUCGCUAUCGAAGGGUAGGUGGGGAAGAAGCGCCGGCUAAGUACGUGCCAGCAGCCGCGGUAAUAC
Molecule: ribosomal RNA, 405 nt
Filed under: uncultured bacterium
Lineage: Bacteria
Description: partial 16S ribosomal RNA
Rfam family: Bacterial small subunit ribosomal RNA
Source: RNAcentral